CCUUUUUUCUAGGGGAAAGAGGAAGCUUAGCUACACCUGGAAGUCUCCAAGAACAUCUGUGUCUUCUGAGGUCCUACCCCACAGCACAGUGAGUGGAGAAGCUGCAGCGAUGCUUUCACUGAGCCAGAGGUGGACUGGAGUGGCUUUGCUCAUCCCUCGUGUUCCCUGGUUGUGGAAAAGUGAAAUUUGUUAUGUGACCCUCAUAGUAGGAGGGAGGUGGACUUGUGUGUAGAAGUGGAGGAAUCCAAGCAGUUUCAGUCAGCCCAAGUAAUUGAACAGAGGCCAGCUUUUGAGGAAACUCGUGGGACUCUUACACCAGGUACAACUAGUUCAGGCUCUGCCACGUACCCUGCUAGGGGCUCAGCAAAGCUGGAAACAACUGGUAUCUGCUUUUUCAGCUUUGUGACUGCCAGCUUGUCUGCUUUUCCCAAACACCAGAUUCUGGCAGCUUUUGUACCUCUGCGCAAAGGCUGCAGCAACUUUGAUUCCAUGUCCUCGGCCGCAGUCUGCCAUCUCAUAUAGUCUCUUCAGCAUCCACCCUGAAGGAACUCAUGGAGGAACAGGCAUAAUGACCAGUGAUAUUACUUCUAAAAAAAUCCUUUCCAUUAAUGCUCUUUCUCUCAUGUUUUCUGGAAGUUGCAUGGCUUUUCUAGAUCAUGUUUUGGAGUAGAUGCUGUGUGAUCUUUUUCUCCCCUUUCUAGUUUUUUCUUUCCAGCUUAAAAACGUGAAGAAAAAGGUACCUCUCGUACUUUUAAUGAAUGGUUUAUCUUACUGGACUUGCGGUUACAUCUCUCACUGUAGAUACAGAGAAAGGAGCAAGACAUAGCAACAGGGACUUGUAAGGACAAAAUCCAAGUGUUUCCUGGGUUGUAAGAACAAAUCUAAUGAAACUCCCUAGUGAGCUCCAGCUGUGGAGGAGAAACUGCAAAAAUCAAAUAGUUACGGUGGCAGGAAGCCUGAAACUUCAAGCUAGAAUUCUCUGUAGUGCAAAUUGCCUUUUUUUUGUUAGCACCUCUUUAAGUCAAAAUACAGGAUUAGGCAGAGCUCCACAAUAGAACCUGCCAGUCUUCAGUGGCUGAAUGUUAUCUACAGAUAUGUAUAUAU
Gymnogyps californianus (California condor) is the source of this 1104-nucleotide long non-coding RNA. RefSeq lists it as uncharacterized. The transcript is spliced from 3 exons. Lineage: Eukaryota; Metazoa; Chordata; Aves; Accipitriformes; Cathartidae. The record is from RefSeq and is a predicted model, not a curated record.